UUAAAUACCCCUCUGGAGGUUGCUGAGGGUUAUUGGGUACUGAGUGAAGGUGCUAGCAGCUUCUGGGGGUUCACUACUUGUAGAGGGGGGCUUCUGAACUUGUUGUAUUAUUGUAUUCCCCUCUUUUGUGAGCUGCUGAAAGGAUGGUGUGAUGUUCCUGGACUGUUUUUCUAGGGGCACCAGUGAUGUUUUGGAGAUAAGGAGGACUGGAGGCUAUGCUUCUUAGCACAGCUGUGUUGCUGGUGGAAAGCGAAGUCUGCAAUGAGGUGUUGCACAGUGAGAAUUAGCCCAAGCCCAUUUCUUGUGGGAGCUGUCAAAGAUUUGUUUAGCAGCCACCAGGGCGUCCACAGCAUUAAACAUCUUAUCGUUUGACACCAGAGAUGGACAGGAGGGGUUAGGGUCUGUGCACCACGUGACAUCCUGUUUCAGUGCUGGUAAGUAUUCCUCUUAGCCGUGGUCAUGCCCCAGCGGGAGGCUGCUGCCAGAAAUACUGAGGAGGCCCAAAGGUCCCAUGCUCUCAGAAAAGGGAGGCAGUGACCAAG
Molecule: long non-coding RNA, 542 nt
Filed under: Coturnix japonica (Japanese quail)
Lineage: Eukaryota; Metazoa; Chordata; Aves; Galliformes; Phasianidae
Description: lncRNA (ENSCJPG00005000977.1)
Source: RNAcentral